Molecule: RNA transcript, 4824 nt
Organism: Pomacea canaliculata
Lineage: Eukaryota; Metazoa; Mollusca; Gastropoda; Architaenioglossa; Ampullariidae
Exons: 3
Source: RefSeq, a predicted model, not a curated record
AAAGAAUCACGCGCAAGCCCUCUACAGAUUAUUAGUGCAUACGAACAGUCUGGUCUCAUCCAUAUGAGAAAAAAGUCUAGGGAUGAACAUGACAAGGGCCGCAGGCUGCUGCAAACAGCUCUACAAAUGCAAUGUCAGGCUGCGUCAUCCCUUCCCACUGGUUUGACUGAUUUUACAACUCUCUGGCCUUCAUUCUAUGAACUUUGCAAUGCAGCUAAAACCAGGUCAUCACCAGACCGUCAAAUGAAAGAGUUGGCUCAACUCUUUGAAAUGGUUAAGGAUCAUGCCAAAUGCCUUAAUGUUUUGGAAGAGAUGUCUAAAUAUACUCCCCAGCAAGCUAUGGAUGCUGAGUUUCUGGAGAAACAGCUAAUCUACUACCUUAAACACGAACUUUAUGACGACGCUCUGCUAUUCCUCAGCAUGCUGGAAACCUCUAAAGAAAAAGAACUAGUUCGUCAGUGGUCAGAUCCAGACCUUCCAAGACGUGUUCGUGUUAUGGCUGCCAAGAAAAUGCUUUUGAACGUAAAUGAUACACUAUUUGGCUCCACUGAUGACAAAAUGAUAAAGAAAUGUUUUCUGCAAGCGAUUACAGCGAAAUCCUCCCAGUCGGAUGAAGAGACUCAAAGGAAGUACGUGGGCAAUGGUUGGGACGAAGAUCUGGAGCCUAAAUGGUGGCAUGUGAUGAUUCUUCAUGACCUGGAGGACGACGACAUGAAGGUUAAAGGUCUGGCGAUUAAGGAAAUUUUACAAAACGUGUGUGGGCUGCGCGUCACGUGCAUGUCAGACGACGAUGACUGCGAGAUCUGGACACUCCUCGAAAAUGCUGAAAAAUCACAGAUUCUCUUGGUACUCUGUGGCACCAAAGAUUUUUCCGACGAGUUUUGCGAUAAUUUCCUUCAGGUGCUUCUUGGAGUGUGUUCUUCAGGGGAUAGCAUACCCAAAUCAUUUCUUGCUUUGCAAACUGACAACACUCGGCAUCCUGAGAAGCUUUAUGCUGAUCGCUGGUUCCAGUGUCCGCCUUCUCUCUUUGGACCUCUUGACCUUUACACUCCAGAACUGAUCGACGACAUCUGCAACCUGUUUUGUUUCCUAGCUGAAGUAGCUAUCGAUUAGAUAAUCUUUAGCAAUACAUUCCUGCAGGUGCUUCCUGAAGUUUGUUCUUCUGGGAACGGCACGCGCAAAGCUCUUCUUGCUGUAAAAAUUGAGAACGCUCAUCGUCUGAAAAAUCGACAUCCUGAUCACUAGUUCCCGUUCUCGACAAUUUUGUGCAGACCUUUUGAAGUCUAUACUUUAGAAUGUAUUUUCUAUAUUUUCAACCUUUUCCGUUUUGUAUUCAAUAUCAGUGUGACCGUUUAUCACUUUUCGGAAACGUGGUGGAAAUAAUAUUGGAAUAUAAGAACUUAAAUAUAUAGUAGAUGAUACAGUUUUUAUAGAAGGAAGUUUAGAAAAGAUGUGAAAUAGCAUGCAAAAAAAUUGAUUGCAGUCACAUUUCCACUAUGAACUCAUCUGUUGCAUCACAAUGCUCAAGCGUAAGUUUCAUGGUUUACAAACAACAGAAUAAGUCUAUUAUUGAAAUUUUUAAAUAUCUCAACCACUGUUAUUUUUGUCAUCAAUGUAUCGUAUGUACCUAAAUGACGAAUUUUUGUUGUGACAAGUAUAUAUUCGCCCUGACUACCAGAUCUUGCUCCUGUACAUUGAUGCUAUUUUUGCGUCGAUGUAUGUUUGUUGAGGUGUUUUGGUCUAUAUAUGCAUGCUAACUUUUUUUGAGUCUGUAUUUCUGUAUUUUUCUUUUUUGCCAUUAAAGUGCAUUGUGACUACGCAUUGUGGAGAAAUGAUCUUGAGAAAACUACUUUUUUUUUUUUUUACUAUGAUCACUAUUAUCAUCUAUUACUUUGAUAGCCUUAUAAAUUCCAUGAUUUUUUUUAAUUUUUUGUGUACAGUCUGUGAGAUCAUCCCACUUGCCACUGAUAUCCCCAUUACAUAGUUUAUGCAUACAGAAUCAUUUUUCUUCUACAAAGAAUAAAAUUUCGGCCCAUCAGGACACAAAUACGUAUUACAAAAUGGAAUAUCAGGACAGUGAAAACAAAUCUGUGGACAAAACCUUAGUUUUAACUUCAGACUAGCUAACAUUGCACGGAGCGCACACACAGAAACCCCACAUACAUUCAUAGAGAACACACCUAAGCUGCUGGCGUAUUCAUUCAUUUUGGCCGCAGAACUUAUUCAAGUCCCACAAGCUUUGCAAACAAGUUCACAAUAAGACCGAGUUACAACAAAUAUUUCUUAGGUAAUCCGCACAUCGUGAAGACAAGGCGACUAGAGACGGUUCUUGAUUACUGGGCACACAUAUUGUCACACAUGACACAAACAAGCGUUCUGUAACGGUCAUUGCCUGUAAGUGAAUCUCAGGUACUACCAAGAUGAACAUUUUAACAGUCACAGCGCACAUCGGGAAAAGCAAGCGGCUAGCAGACUGCGGGUAGUACAUAUCCACACGUACCAAACUUGCCAAGAGCAGUUUUACAUUUUCCACAUAAAGCCCAAACAUACUAGAAAGUCAUAAGCUUUUCUAUAAAAACAUUCUCCGAGAAUAUAGAAUUUAACAGUAAGAACAUAUUUUUGUGAGGAUAGUAUGUGUGGAAAAUAUAGUACAAGGGACUUCUACGAAGGAGUCAAACAGCUGAAUGUUUGGCUAAUGGAUUACUGAACACAGCUAGCAGAGUCACGAUAUACGUAGAAGAUAUUAAUACCAGCAAGCUUAAUUUAUGCCUGACGACUGCUUCUGUUUACAUCGUGCUAACUCUACGAGACCUCGGUCUUGCUGUUGAGAAGACGCAACCCAUUCCAGCCAUUUCAACCCAUUUCAAUUGUCUUUCUGCACAAUGGAGAGGCGCUACGAAACAGACUCCUGCAAACAUCCCCAUUCCCGAAAGAGAAAGAGAUGAACAUCACAAACAUGAGAAUUGCACACAGAUAGAUAUCUGUGCUCAAGAUUAAAGCCGGUGACGGAAGUUUGGGGCUUUGUUAGCAAGGCGCAUCUGUGGACAAAGGUUCUCUCAACGAUUCAAGGGACGAAGCAAAGCAUUCGAGGAGGACAAAAAGGAAUUUUUGAGCAAGCUGAAGGAUUUUCCUCACCUUUUCCAACUAGACUAUUCUGAGUUGACACAUGCAAGAAUCAAAAGCAUUCAUGAUCGUUUGCGCAGAGAGCAAAAUGAUCCCUUUAAAAGUACAGCAGGAGACAUUCGGGAUCUGAACUUCACUGCCUUUCUACUCUUUCUGAUAAAUGAUAUCGAUGACGCCAUACAACUGACCGAAACAGUUUUAAAAACGACAGAGGGAGGCAACCUUGUUGCUCUGGGUAACAUGGCUGUCAUGUUGUGGCUGAAACGAAACAGGGCUGACGGCGAGAAAUACGCCGAAAGAUUGCAAAAUCUCAAGGAAACAUGUGAAAAGUCUGAGUUUGAGGCAAACGUUGCAAGGGGUAAAGCGGAAAUAGCUUACUGCUACUCAAGAAUGGGGAUGGCCUUUGCUGCGCGAGCAGUAGAUGUGUUUGAGGAGGUUGUCCAUCAAAUCCCUGAAGAGUACUCCUGGAAGUUUGGCCUCGCGUUAGUUCUUAGACGUUUCACGCACUUAAAUUACAGGGUUUACUACCAGGUGACUGCCAAAACAUCGCGAGAACAGAACAUGAAAGCUUUCGAGUUGCUGCAAGAAAUCACUAACUGUGCUUCUGUGCCAGAUCUGAAAGCUCAUGCUUGGGCUGAGCUGGGCAUGCUGCUGGGACAACCGUGGAAUGCAGAACUUAAGGACGUCUCUAGAAAGGCCCAAGACGUUGGCUUGACAGCUCAAUACUGCUUCGAAGAAGCCAUCCGAUGUGCGCCCAAAAAUGUCGACGUGUUGAUAAAAAGUGGAAAGUUCUUUACAACAGUUGGUGAUUUAAGACGUUCUCAAGCGCUGCUAGAGGAAGGGACCAAGAUCAGAGAAACAUCAACUGGCCACUAUUACCUGGGUAAUACUUUUAGAAAGCUUGCUACGAACACAGGAGGAGAGAGGACACAGCUCGAAAGCCGAAGAAAAACGCAAGGACAAAGAUGGAGCCCGAAAGUUCAGCUAGAGGAUCAAGAAAAGACAAGCAAGUCCCAGUUAACACUAGCAAACACAAUCGACCUAGAUUUGAAAAAAGACACGAAAAAAACAAACCGUGUGAACAGAAGCAUGGAUAUAUUAAUAAGAAGACUAAUUUUCAAUACAGUCUGAGUAGCUGGAGUGAUCCAGUUUGUCAGGAAACCUCGUAUUCGUUCUUAAUCCCCGGAGAAGAUCAAUCAGGGUGCACGUGGAUAUCCCGAACUUCCUCUUGAAAACGUUAUUUCACGCAUGUCAAUAUCAGACGAAAGACAAGAACAUGCUGUUUCGUCCUUGCCAUUUUCUGUUGUUGGAUCGAGUGAAGCCAGGGCGAUUAAAGCUAUAGUUAAGUCUCCAUGCAGAUUAAGGUCUUUGCGAUGGGACCAGGAAUAUGUCAAGGAUGCAGAAUGUCAUUUUCUGAAAGCUAUAGAGAUCUCUCACGGGGAAAACACGACCGCUAGAUUUGACCUAGGGCUGAUGUAUUUCGCUCUUGGUGAAUGCCAACUGGCUCUUGAGCAAUUUUCUUCAAUCACUAGUCAGGAUGAGUGCUGUCUAAGUCCUCUGCAAUUCAUCAAUGCGUACGAACAGUCAGGGUUAGUUUACUUGAUGCUAAGUUCCAACGCCAAGGACGAGCCAGAAAAGGAAAAACACUUAUCUGUGGCACGAACUAUGCUUCACAGAGCUCUGGAGAUGCAGUGCGAUCUC